Molecule: microRNA, 22 nt
Filed under: Pteropus alecto (black flying fox)
Lineage: Eukaryota; Metazoa; Chordata; Mammalia; Chiroptera; Pteropodidae
Description: pal-miR-378-5p
Gene: pal-miR-378-5p
Source: miRBase by way of RNAcentral
CUCCUGACUACAGGUCCUGUGU